UACGUAGGGUGCAAGCGUUGUCCGGAUUUAUUGGGCGUAAAGAGCUCGUCGGCGGUCUGUCGCGUCGGAUGUGAAAACCCGGGGCUUAACUCCGGGCCUGCAUUCGAUACGGGCAGACUAGAGUGUGGUAGGGGAGACUGGAACUCCUGGUGUAGCGGUGAAAUGCGCAGAUAUCAGGAAGAACACCAGUGGCGAAGGCGGGUCUCUGGGCCACUACUGACGCUGAGGAGCGAAAGCGUGGGGAGCAAACAGG
This 253-nucleotide ribosomal RNA is filed under the name uncultured bacterium. RNAcentral's name for it is "partial 16S ribosomal RNA". It matches the Rfam family "Bacterial small subunit ribosomal RNA", at positions 524 to 776 of the family's 1533-position model. The record is from RNAcentral.